GACGUAGGGCGCGAGCGUUGUCCGGAUUUAUUGGGCGUAAAGAGCUCGUAGGCGGCUUGUUGCGUCAGCUGUGAAAACCCGCAGCUCAACUGUGGGCUUGCAGCUGAUACGGGCAGGCUUGAGUUCGGUAGGGGAGACUGGAAUUCCGGGUGUAGCGGUGAAAUGUGUAGAGAUCCGGAGGAACACCAGUGGCGCAAGCGACGCCCUGGGCCAUACCUGACGCUGAGAUGCGAAAGCGUGGGGAGCGAACGGG
Molecule: ribosomal RNA, 253 nt
Filed under: uncultured bacterium
Lineage: Bacteria
Description: partial 16S ribosomal RNA
Rfam family: Bacterial small subunit ribosomal RNA
Source: RNAcentral